RNAcentral lists this small RNA (125 nucleotides) under Rhizobium sp. RU36D. Its description in RNAcentral is "Alphaproteobacterial ar14". It matches the Rfam family "Alphaproteobacterial ar14". Rfam says of the family: Smr14C2 was renamed NfeR1 (Nodule Formation Efficiency RNA) highly expressed in salt stress and during the symbiotic interaction on legume roots. The record is from Rfam by way of RNAcentral. Lineage: Bacteria; Pseudomonadati; Pseudomonadota; Alphaproteobacteria; Hyphomicrobiales; Rhizobiaceae.
AGGUUUCGGAGCCGCGCACUCCUCCUCCCAGUGCGGCACCGAAUUGGCUGGCAGCCCUCCUCCUCCCAGUUGCCAGUCGCUAUACAUAGCGCCCACCGGACCUCCUCCCCCGGUGGGCGUUAUUG